Molecule: transfer RNA, 76 nt
Filed under: bacterium AH-315-E10
Lineage: Bacteria
Description: tRNA-Lys
Rfam family: tRNA
About the family: Transfer RNA (tRNA) molecules are approximately 80 nucleotides in length. Their secondary structure includes four short double-helical elements and three loops (D, anti-codon, and T loops).
Source: RNAcentral
GCACUCGUGCUCAGUUGCUUAGAACAUCUGACUCUUAAUCAGUGGGUCCUCGGUUCGGGCCGAAGCGAGUGUACCA